CCUCUAGAAAAAAUAUGUUUAAUCCUUAUAAUUCUUCAGCCAAACAUACGCCAUUAUCAAUUUACAUCAUUUGUUUGACGGCUACUUUAUUUACCAUCAAAAGCACAAUGGCAUGUCGUAACUAAGGAGUACGCCGCCAUCUUGUCUUUCUAAAAACCAUAGAUGUCCGAUAAAUGCAACAGAAUCUAAAAUGAAAUAGCACCUACCUCAACAAUUUCAUUUUAAUUAGAUAUU
Molecule: long non-coding RNA, 234 nt
Filed under: Mytilus galloprovincialis (Mediterranean mussel)
Lineage: Eukaryota; Metazoa; Mollusca; Bivalvia; Mytilida; Mytilidae
Source: RNAcentral